AGCAGUAGCCACGGGAAUACGGAGGGUGCAAGCGUUAAUCGGAAUUACUGGGCGUAAAGCGCACGCAGGCGGUUUGUUAAGUCAGAUGUGAAAUCCCCGAGCUUAACUUGGGAGCUGCAUUUGAAACUGGCAAGCUAGAGUCUUGUAGAGGGGGGUAGAAUUCCAGGUGUAGCGGUGAAAUGCGUAGAGAUCUGGAGGAAUACCGGUGGCGAAGGCGGCCCCCUGGACAAAGACUGACGCUCAGGUGCGAAAGCGUGGGGAGCAAACAGGAUUAGAUACCCCGGUAGUCCCUGUCUCUUAUAC
RNAcentral lists this ribosomal RNA (303 nucleotides) under uncultured bacterium. Its description in RNAcentral is "partial 16S ribosomal RNA". It matches the Rfam family "Bacterial small subunit ribosomal RNA", at positions 507 to 807 of the family's 1533-position model. The record is from RNAcentral.